CGCGUAGGCGGUUCGAUCAGUCUGCUGUGAAAGCCCCGGGCUCAACCUGGGAAUAGCAGUGGAUACUGUCGGACUAGAGUGCAAGAGAGGAUGGCGGAAUUCCCGGUGUAGCGGUGAAAUGCGUAGAGAUCGGGAGGAACACCGAUGGCGAAGGCAGCCAUCUGGAUUGACACUGACGCUGAGGGGCGAAAGCGUGGGAGCAAACA
RNAcentral lists this ribosomal RNA (206 nucleotides) under uncultured bacterium. RNAcentral describes it as "partial 16S ribosomal RNA". It matches the Rfam family "Bacterial small subunit ribosomal RNA", at positions 568 to 774 of the family's 1533-position model. The record is from RNAcentral.